AAGAAAAGUUAUACUCUAGGGUCUACCAAAAUUAUUCCAUUCCCAGUUACUUUGAACCAGAGCAGAGUGAAUGUGAGAAUGGAUGUCACAACACGAGAAGAAGAAAAAGAAGAAAAAACUGGUUUAACUUGUUACGUAAAAGCUGUAAAAGCUCAGAGGUGUGGAACACUACAGUUCACAGGACGAAGAAGAAAGAUCUGCACACGUUUAUCUGAGGCAAAAGGUGGUGAAGGACGAUGGCGUCCGUUAAAGAGCUGCUUGUGGACUUACUGAAGGAUCUGAAAGAAGCUGAACCAAAGGAGUUUCAUUGGUGGUUAAAGAAUGGACAUCAUAAGCCUAUAUCAAAGUCUGAAAUGGAGAAGGCAGAUGUAUUAGACACAGUAGAUAAGAUGGUUAUGUGUUUUGGACCAGAAGACGCUGUGAAGGUCACGGUAGACAUCCUGAGAAAGAUGAACCAAAAUGAUCUGGCUAAACAGUUGCAGAAUGACCACAAGUAAGCUCAGACGGAGGACAAUAUGAAGACAUCUGUCCCUUUUAGAGAGAUGCAAAAUGUCUUGAAAACUCACAAAAACAACAUGAAGAUGAAGGUAAAAUACAUUUUUGAGGGCAACAAAGAAACUGACACAGAUCUGAAAGCUGUUUACACAGAUCUGUUCAUCACAGAGGGAGAUAUGAAAGAUGUAAAUCAGGAACAUGAGAUUCUGAAGAUUGAUGAUGCUUUCAAGAGCAAAAAACACUGAACAAAACAAUCAAAUGCAAUGAUAUAUUUACUGAACUGAGGAAAAACAAUGAGUUAAAGAUUGUGUUGACCAAAGGAGUCGCUGGCAUUGGAAAAACUGUGUCUGUGCACAAGUUCAUCCUGGACUGGGCCGAAGGAGAAUCUAAUCAGGAUAUAGACUGUGUGUUCCUGCUUCCAUUCAGAGAGAUCAAUGUGAUUAAAGAGAGAGAGGUCAGUCUCCAUGAGUUUCUGCUGAAAUUUAAUCCUGAAUUGAAGGACCUGGAGAAAUCAAAGUUAUAAACUUGUGUUUAUAUUUGAUGGACUUGAUGAGAGUGGACUGCCUUUGAAUUUUGAAAGUGAUACAUUGAACACUGUUGAGGAAAGAUCAUCUGUGGAUGUGCUGUUUACAAGUCUGGUCAAAGGUAAACUGCUUCCAUCAGCUCUGGUCUGGGUCACAUCACGACCAGCAGCAGCCAAUCAGAUCCCUCCUCAGUAUGUAGGUUUGUUCACAGAGGUGCGAGGAUUCACUGACCUACAGAAGGAGGAGUACUUCAGAAAGAGAUUCACAGAUGAGAGUCUGUCCUCCAGAAUCAUCUCACACAUUAAGACGUCUCAUAGUCUCUACAUCAUGUGCCACAUUCCUGUGUUCUGCUGGAUUUCAGCCACAGUACUUCAGGAUAUUUUCACUGAGAACAAUGAAGAGAACAUCAGCACAACACUCACUGAAAUGUACAUUCACUCCCUGCUGAUACAGAUGAACAUAAAAAAACAGAAAUACAAUGAACAAGAAGAAAGAGAAUGUUCAGAGCACUUACUUUUAAAUAGAAAGAUGAUUCUGAAGUUAGCCAAGCUAGCGUUUGAACAGCUGAAGCAGGGAAACAUUGUGUUCUAUGAGAAACAUCUGAAACCAUGUAGUAUUGAUGUGAGUAAAGAUGCUGAGUUCACAGGAAUGAUCGCUGAGAUCUUUAAGAAGGAAGUUGGACUUUAUUAGACAAAGGUCUUCUGCUUUGUGCAUCUGGGUGUUCAAGAGUUCCUCGCUGCAGUGCAUGUGUUCACCUGUUACCUGAAAAAAACAAGCAAGAGCUUACGUUUUUCUUUGAGGAUUCACAAACUACAGUCAUACAAAAUCUUACAUUUCCUUUUAGAAAGGUCAAAUUGCAUGACUUAACAGAGAGAGCAAUUGAAAAAGCAAUGCAGAGUAAGAGAGGGCAUCUGGACCUGUUCCUGCGGUUUCUGAUGGGAAUUUCACUGGAAUCCAGUCAAGUAUAAGUUUAAUAAGUUUAUUUAAAAACAUUUUACAGUCUUAGACGGGACAGGAUAUAUAGUCUAUACAGUACAAAUGUACCGUUUCUACGGAAUCUACCUUGAUGUAUGUGACUUUUUUUCUUUCAGACAAUUCCAAUCAAAUUCAAUUGUCCUAGUCCCUCCAAGUCUUUCCAUUGUAUUUAUCAUGUGGUAGCUUUUAACAGUUCAGAACACAUAACGUAUUAGUAAUGACUUCCCUCAAUUGGCUCUUGGGGGGUUGAACCACCCGCCCACUAAAAUUAUAGAGAUUAAAAAUGCCAGUUAAAUUUUUUGUCUAAAAAGGAAAAAAAUCCCAUACACCUAGGAUGCUUCAAAAGUAUGAAAAACAUCUAAUUUUCAUUUAGAAUUUUCAAGGGUGGACUAACCCUUUAAGCAUGUUCAACUACAGAGACAAUCAGUGAUGAACCCACCACUUGUAUAUAGUCUGUAUAUAAUAUGUAUAUAAUUAUCGUGUUAAACUUGUAUAGAUUUUCUACAUGUAAUCUCACUGCACAGUGUGCAAUAUCGCAGAAGAUAUAAUAUCAUAAUUGUUGUUUUAAUGAUGUGAGAUUUGAAAUGAUCUAGUAGUUUUGCAAAACACACCCUCAGAGUGUGAAGUCUAGACUAGUGAGUGUGCACAUUUAGAGUGAUUUUCUUUACUGCUUGAUUCUAUUUAAUAAAAUACAUUUAGAAUGAUCACAAAUUAAAGACAUGCAGGCAGACAAUUUCAUAUAGUUAAUUACCAUGAUGUAACAAUUUAGUUCACUGAAGAUGAGCAUAGUGAGAACUCAUGUGCAGUUUUAUUUACAGAGAUAUAAUCCAUAAUCUAAACAAACGAAUACUUGACUUGAAACACACUUGCCUGAAAAAUGAAUAGACUUGACUUGGAAUAGACUUGGCAUGAACAGGAUAGAUUCAUUGACAGCAGGUUCCCUGAUAACAAAUGCACAUCUCAGAGACGUCAAAUAGACGUCUGCAUUUAUAUCUUCAAGGCAUAGUUUUUUUGUGUAUUUGCUUAUCUGAGCCACUGGCCUCUGCUUCCUCAGUGGAACAUGCUGGAAGAAGAAAAUUGGUGAAAUUGAGGAGAUCCUUCUCCAGUAUUGAGGUAUUCCUUCCACCAUCCGACAAUAUUCCCAGUCGAAGUCAGCAGAUUUCCACCUUCACUUAAAUUUGGCAAUAUGGGAGUGCUUCCCACAAGCUGUUUAACUAUUUUAGAUUCACAAACUAGAAUAAAACAGUCCAGUGAUUUAUCAGUAAGAUUGGCGUUUUAGAAAAAAAAUAAUAAUAAUGUUUUUAUUAAUUAAAAAAUGUAUUAAAAUGUAGAACCAAUAAUGAAUAUGCAUUGUGAAUAGAUAAUAAUAGACAACUAAAUAUGAAGAAAGAUGGCAAAGAAUUUGUAGAAACAAAUAGAGUGAAGACAGAAUGUCUCUCCUAGGACCACAACCUUAAUGUGGUGGAGGGGUUUGAGUGCCUCAGUGGCCCUAGGAGCUAUGUUGGCCGGGGCUAUAUGGCCCUGGUAGGGUCUCCCAAAGC
This is a long non-coding RNA of Puntigrus tetrazona (Sumatra barb), 3535 nucleotides long. RefSeq lists it as uncharacterized. The record is from RefSeq and is a predicted model, not a curated record. The transcript is spliced from 4 exons. NCBI's taxonomy places the organism in Eukaryota, Metazoa, Chordata, Actinopteri, Cypriniformes, Cyprinidae.